GGAAAACUCAUUUUUGGAGCGGUUCUGUGGAUUAUUGUUAGGAGCCUUUUCUAUCAUUUUUGCUUACUAGCCAUUAUCAUCAUCAUAAACACCAUCCUCUAUCUAUCCAUCUCUCUCUCUCUCUCUCUCUCUCUCUCUCUCUCUCUCUCUCUCUCUCUCUCUCGCUCUCUCUCUCUCUCUCCCUCCCUCCCUCCCCCCUGGCUUGUAGUGUUGAAGAUGUGAAGAGGCUCAUAGUGAUUAUCCAGUGGUUAACUGUCAAUGACCAGACAUAGCUAUGAGAUCUGAAGGCUUGCCCAGAAACAUUUGUUUCUUUUAAGAUAUGUUUAUUGAAUCUUAAAUCAUUUUUGUUCCUUAGUUAUUCUAUGGUUGUAUUUUCUUGGUUUCCACAUAUUUAUUAUGCUCCUCCUUUAUUAUGUCCUUUAUUUACCAUUGCUUCGAAGUUGCGACUGCAUUUCAUUGUAGUAGUGAUGCUGUGUUGACGAUCAGAUCUACUCUUUUGUCUAUUCUGUGCGUCUGCAUGAUAUAACUGCAUAUGCCCACUCGUUUUUGUUUAUUGUUUUUAACCAUGUUUUCUAGUGUAUCUAUUUUGCUGCCUCAGGAAGAUGGUUCAAUGUUUAUUAGCCUAAUGAUGGAAAACUCAUUUUUGGAGCGGUUCUGUGGAUUAUUGUUAGGAGCCUUUUCUAUCAUUUUUGCUGUACUAGCCAUUAUCAUCAUCAUAAACACCAUCCUCUCUCUCUGUCUCUCUGUCUCUCUGUCUCUCUCUCUCACUCUCUCUCUGUCUCUCUCUCUCUCUCUGUGGCUUGUACGGUUGGAGAUGUGAAGAGGCUCGUAGUGAUAAUCCAGUGGUUAACCGUCAAUGACCAGAUAUAGCUAUGAGAUCUGAAGGCUUGCCCAGAGACAUUUGUUCCUUUUAAGAUAUGGUUAUUGAAUCUUAAAUCAUUUUUGUUCCUCAGUUAUUCUAUGGUUGUAUUUUCUUGGUUUCCACAUUUUUUACACUCCUCCUUUAUUAUGUCCUUUAUUUACCAUUGCAUCAAAGUUGCGACUGCGUUUUGUUGUAGUAGUGAUGCUGUGUUAACGAUCAGAUCUACUCUUUUGUCUAUUCUGUGUCUCCAUGAUAUAACUGUAGAUGCCCACUCGUUUUUGUUUUUUUUAAACUGUGUUUUCUAGUGUAGCUAUUUUGCUGCCUCAGGACGAUGGUUCAAUUUUUAUUAGCCUAAUGAUGGAAAACUCAUUUUUGGAGCGGUUCUGUGGAUUAUUGUUAGGAGCCUUUUCUAUCAUUUUUGCUUACUAGCCAUUAUCAUCAUCAUAAACACCAUCCUCUAUCUAUCCAUCUCUCUCUCUCUCUCUCUCUCUCUCUCUCUCUCUCUCUCUCGCGCGGGCGUGUAGAGAUGAAGAUAAAAAGAGGCUCAUAGUGAUAAUCCAGUGGUUAAAUGUCAAUGAAUAUAUAUAGCUAUGAGAUCUGAAGGCUUGUCUAUAGACAUUUUUUGUCCUUCUAAGAUAUGCUUAUUAAAUUGUAAAUCACUUUUCGUCCUUAGUUAUUCUAUGGUGUUUUAUCUUCAUUUCUACAUAUCUAUUACGCUCCUCUUUAUUAUGCCCCUUAUUGACCAUUAUAUGGAAUUUGUGACUGCAUUUCGUUUUAAACAUUUGCACUGAAUAAUAUGUAUUUCCCAUGUGGUGCAAAUAUCCUUCCCAAGGUGCCCUUGAAACGCUGAUAAAAUUAAUGUGAUGGAACUUCAGUCAACUGCAAAUAGUAGAGCGUCCUGGAAUGUGGUUAUUUUGACAUUGUCAAUGGCACAGUUAAGAGUUUCAAUUGGUUUGUUUUUCUUUUGGUUUGGUGUGACUAUUUGGCAACUAUUGUAUGAAAUUUUGUUUGCUAGUGCUAGUUUAGAUAUUUAAGGUGUAUGGCUAACUGUAUGAGAUUCCAUAGAUUAAAUUGUGUUUGAUGGUAGAUUCCAUUUUAGUACUCCAUUGAUCUGAUCUUUGUUGGAAUUCAAAUAAAAGGUGAAGUUAUUAUUGUAGGUUUGAGCAUAUGAGACUUUAAAAAACAACGCUGUACUAAUGAUCAGAUCUAGUGUCUUUUGUUUAUUCUGUGCCUUUCCACGUUCUACUUGUGGUUGUCUGAGUUUAUAUUUCUUGCCUUUUUUAUUUUUUGGGAUUACCUUGUAAUGUAAUCUAACAAAUUUGCUGCCUCAGAAAAUUGGUGCAAUUUUUUAUUAGCCUGGUGAUGGAAACCUCUUUUUUUUGUUAUGAUUUUUAUAGCACUUUAUAUUAUAAGACUGCAGGUACCUGAAUAGUUUUUUGUAACACAGUUUCUUAUUACUUUCAAUGAGCUUUAAAAUUUAAAUCUGGUUUUCAUUUGUGAAGUACAGAACAGUUAUGAACUGUUUGAGUACCUUUGAGCUUACUUGAUGUCUCAAUUUUCUUACUAGAUAUAUUUAUAUAAACUAAAAUCUUUAGAAUAUUUAAGAAUAUAUAUUAAUUUAUAAUUUAUAUAUUAAUUAUUUAAUUGAAAUGUAAUUUAAUGGUGUCAGGCAUUUGAUGUCAAGUUGGUUCAAAAUCCGCCAAUGUCUAUGACCAUGGUUUGUAUUAUGGCUUGUUGUGUAUAAUGGCAUAGUUUUUAAGUGGAUUUUAAAAUUUUCUUUUCCGUGGUCUGGGUUAAUUGCUAAGUGGGACUUUGGUGAACAAUGAUACAUGCAUUGGGCUUGGAGCAGUUUAUGACUGCAGCCAUUGAUGGAAAUGCAACCUAGAAAGCUAUAUAUGACCCCUGUAGAAAUCCUUGCAUUCCUGUGAUACGGGUGUUGCAAUGUUAGGAUGAAAUUUUUAUCUGCUAGUUGUAGGGGUAUGGCUGACUGCAAGAGAUUCCAUACAAGUAAAUUGUGUUUAUCUGGUAUAUUUUCAAAUUGGGUGUUCAGGACAUGGUGUUGAUUGAAAAUCUACUCAUGCUCAUGGCUACGGUCGUAUUUGUGGCGAGUAAUUUAUAGUGAAUUGGUAUUAAAAUCGAGUGAUGUACAUGCAUGCACUGAGCUCCGAGCUGUGGUUAUUGAUGGAAAUGCAGGCAGCUUAGAAAACUAUAUAUGAGCCUCCAUGAAAUCCUUUUGCUUUUCUGUUCGCAGGUGUUGGAUUUAAAAUGAAAUUUCUGUUUGGGCUAGAUUGGAUUCUUAAGGUAUGGAUUGGACUUUGUAGUAUUAAACUGUGUAUGGAAGUGGAUUUUGUGUGAUUACAAUCAUUGGAUCAGUUGCACUCCUUUGGCCUGAUGAUGGAAAACUCAUUUCUGGGAGCGGUACUAUGGAUUAUUAUAAGUAUGAGCCUUUUCUAUCAUUCUUUCCAUGCUAGUCCUCAUCAUCAUCAUCAUCAUCAUCAUCAUCACCACCACUCUCUUUCUCUCUCUCUCUCUCUCUCUCUCUCUCUCUCUCUCUCUGUGGCAUGCAUGGCCGAAGAUGUGAAGAGGCUCAUACUGAUAAUCCAGCAGCUAACCGUCGAUGACCAGAUAUAGCUAUGAGAUCUGAAGGCUUA
This 3513-nucleotide long non-coding RNA is filed under the name Prunus persica (peach). The record is from RNAcentral. Lineage: Eukaryota; Viridiplantae; Streptophyta; Magnoliopsida; Rosales; Rosaceae.